Molecule: long non-coding RNA, 812 nt
Filed under: Mus pahari (shrew mouse)
Lineage: Eukaryota; Metazoa; Chordata; Mammalia; Rodentia; Muridae
Description: predicted gene 29064 (MGP_PahariEiJ_G0006200.1)
Source: RNAcentral
GCCCGCCAGACGCCUAUCAUUCAACUCUUCCCAAUCUGAUCACCCUGUAUAAAUAAAGGCAAAAUACAUAUAUAUAAAUCAGAAGCCGAGUGCUUUUAAAUGCACUAAAUGAAAGGCUGUGUUCAUGCCACCUCCCUCCGAAAUGAAUCACCAGAUUAAAUGCAAGAUGUAAGCACCAAAUCAAUAACUUGAGACAGAGAUGCCUUGCUUGUUCUUCAGGAAAAUUCCAUUUCCUUUCAGAUGUUGUUGUUUGAAAUGUCAGGAAGUUUCCAUACAUCUCCACCCUUGAAAAUGCCGCUGGUGCCGUCCGCCCUCCAGCUUUGCCUCCUUUCUUCAGAGAAACCCAGGCGCCUUGCCAGAGAAAGCCCACGUGUCACAGCCUCUGAGGGCCUCUACACAGGCAGUGUGUGGAAGGAAAGCCAUGGAGAGGUUGAGGUGAAAAACAAACAAACAAACAAAAACAACAAAACCCCCAAAUUAGAAGACCGAUGUUUUCUUCCAGUGCCUCAAAGAGACCACACUCUUGUGUGUACUACAGGUGGGUCACUGAAGGUAAUAGAAGAAAAUACAUGAGGGGGGUGAGAAGGGGACCUAAGUCUUGACCUUGAUGCUUCUCUGUGCUUCAUUGUUGUCUAAUAAAAUAGAGGAAAUACAAAUGCAGCACAUUAGGGUCUCUACACUGCCUCCCACGUGUCACAUAACCCUCGGCUGUAUAUGCAACUGCCCACACCUGUAUAAAUGGGGUCAUGGCAGCCAAGUAUUCAGCUGCUGUCACUGCUCAAAAUGCAAUCAAAAUGGAGUAUCUCAUUUCU